Molecule: long non-coding RNA, 5039 nt
Organism: Gadus macrocephalus (Pacific cod)
Lineage: Eukaryota; Metazoa; Chordata; Actinopteri; Gadiformes; Gadidae
Exons: 2
Source: RefSeq, a predicted model, not a curated record
UUUGAAUAAUCGUAAUUUCAAUAUUGACCAAAAUAAUCCUGAUUAUGAUUUUCCCCAUAAUCGAGCAGCCCUCCUCAAUCGUUAAGUCUGUUCUACUCUAUGGCUGUGAAACCUGUAAAACUACAAAAACAAUCAAAAAACAUCUAGCCUUCAGCAGCAACUUCCUCUGUUCCAUAAGGAUAUGGUGGCCUAAUAAAAACAUUAACCUGACUUGUGGAAACUGACCAAUCAGGAUCAAAUCCACCAUCAGAUUACAGGAGGUUACGGGAGGGUGAGCGUGACGCCAUACACCUCAGCUGACCCGCGGUCAAAGAGUUCAGAGGCUUCAUCUUCCUAGGGGAUCAAGGCUGACCUCACCUGGUCUGCUCAUACAGACGAGGUGGUCCAAUCAGCCCGGGAACGUCUUCUCCUCCUGAGGAGACUGAAGACGUUUGGUGUGGAUCGAGUUAUCCUCCAAAACUUCAACAGUGCACUAGGGAGUGCAAUCCGACCAGGUCGGUACGAGAGCUGCACAGCCAAGGACCGUAAGGUCAGACUUUCUAAGGAUUCUAGGACUUUCUCAAGUCAUCAGGCUGUCAGGACUGCAGAACCCAAUGGCAGAGAGCUCCCUGUGCUACUGGACUCCUCCUACCCAGCAGCACAUGCAUAAACAGUAUAUAUAUAAAUAUACAUGUAUAUAUUACUAUACUAUUACAAUAUAUUAUAUUGUCUUCUGGCAGGCUAUACCGAUCUGCCGUCUGGCUGCCAACUGAAUGUUUCUAUCCCAGAGCCAUCAGGUGUUGACUGUCUGGGAUUUCUUACAUUCUCAUGUCCCUUUGCAACCUUAUUAACCUAAAUAAUUAAAUUAUUUUAAUUAUUCUAAUAUAUUUUUCAUUAUCUAUCUUUCUAGUAUUUAAGCCCAAACUAGGUAUCAGCGGUUGACUUGAACAGUAGGAAUAUCCGGGCAAGUUCUAGCUGUGAUCUGUGCUUCUGAAAUAUAAAACAGGUGUUUGAACAAUAUUUAGAGAGCAUUUUAAGAGCAGCCCGGGGGAAUGAGCGUGAUUCAUCAGUGAGCCGGUGGCGGGGCUGGAGCGGGAUCAAAAUAGCAGGAUCAGAAUCCAUCUGCCAGCUCACUUUUGGUUACCGGUAAAACCUGACCUCCUUCACUCUCAUUCCACAUCCCUGCUAGAGACAUCAGGUUGCUGGUGUGGCUCACAUCUCACGUCUCCGUUUUCUGUUUUACCACUGGCCUCCAGCACCACGACUCAGAGCGUAUGUUGAGCUGUGAGUGAUUGACAGGAUGCUCAGGGUCCAAUGAUGAGUGCUCUGUUCCCGGGUAGAAAAGCUUAGAGGAACACAAAGCAAUGUACCACAACUAGCUAUGGAUUACUAGUUUUACGUACCGGCUUUUACCGUACCUUAGCCUAUAAUCUAUGCUUUUACUAAUGAUAUCAAAUCCAAAUAUUGUUUUGACUCAAUAGUAAAUAGUCCUCUAAUUGUCUUUCAAAUUAAUGCUGGUAGCUUCUCAUAUGCGAGCAGAAUGGGCUUAGAGCAGGGCGAUGCUUAAUCCCACUGUGCAUCAUUGAUGUAUGGCACCUCUUUAAGCCCUGUAAACCACUCAGCUGGCCUGGUGUUGUUGUUGUUGUUGUUGCUGCUGCUGUUGUUGUUGUUGCUGUUGUUUGGGUUCAACGGUUUAAUGAAUGGGCAGCUUAGCUCUUAAAGGCUCCUCACAAACACGUGCUUAAACAUUAUGAGGCCAUACACUGGAAGGUCAUUAGGUCAUAUGAUUGCUGAUCUUAAGAUCCAAAACCAAACCUAAAACCGCGCAAAACACGGUCAGCCAAAAGAUACUGAGCCUGAAGGACCUUCUUUAUGCUAUCCACACAAACCCACCCCCAAUGACACUCUCUCUCUCUCCCUUUCUCUCUCUGGGUGACCCUUGAUGUAAGUAUGUCUUAUGUGUGGGCGGGGAUUGUGAAAGAUCACUGAACAGACCCACAGUAUUAAUGAGAGAAUAACAUGAUAUGUUAAAAUGUACUUUCAUCGUUAUGAAAGUACAAACAACUACAAAAAGAAGAAUGUUAAAACCCCAACCACCUGAAAACGAUGUACACUAUGUACAAUGUGAACUAUGUGCACUAUAUACAUUGUAAACUAUAGACACUAUAUGCAUUAUAAACAAUGUACACAAUAUAAUCUAUAUACACAUUUACAUUACAAACUAUACACACAAUGUACAUUAUAAACUUUAUACACUAUGUACAAUAUAAACUAUAUCGACGAUGUACAAUUAAACUAUAUUGAUUAUGUACAAUAUAAACUAUUUAGACUAUGUACAAUAUAAACUAUUUAUACUGUACAAUAUAAACUAAACACACUAUAUGCUUUAUAAACUAUGGAUACAUCAUGUACACUAUAAACGAUGUAUACACUAUGUAUAAUAUAAACUAUAUGCAUUUAAAACUAUGUAGACUAUACAGACACACCUGUACAAUAAUGUAUGUGUGUACACUUUAAAUAGACUAGUUUUCUCACGCGCGUAGCGCUUGCUCAACCUCUAGUUAUAAACAAACCCAUAGCAAUAAUGUGGAAACCCCAGUCGUUAAUGUAACAAAUUUCUGGGCGCAUAAUAUAUUAACAUUUUGGCUAUACUUUUACAAUGUAUAACAUUCGUUCACCAGAAAUGACUCUAAAAAGCAGUGCCAAAAUUAAAAUAUUUUUUACUACACUAUAUACAUUAUAACUACUACUACAACUACUAUUAGUAGUUGCCUUGCUAGUAGUUAGUUGAAAAUAAUUAUUGUCAUUGAGAUUAAACAUCUCUUCCAGUGUCCUGGCCAAGACAGGCAGCAGUAGCCUACAGUCACACAUAGCAUACAAACAUAAGAAAACUCAAAAAAAAACUCAAACAGGCCGCAGGGGGGAGGGGGGAUAUCAAUAUCGCAAGACAUCUCGGGAGGUUCAAGGAGGAGGGUAAUAUUAAGUUUGAGCAACAAAGUGUAGUCUUGUGGUGGACUCUAUAGACAUAAUUCACCAUACUGUGUUGACAUGUUUUCGUGCAUGUGCUUUACACAUGCGCACAUGAGUAACUUGAUUAACUGGUGCGACAGGCCUGCUAUUAUAGUAGUAAGAUGUUAAAUAGAAACAAUGUGUGCAAUGAUAUGAUUGAAAGCAAUAAAUGUUUCUAAAUGUUGACCCUCCUUGUGGGCAGAGUGAUUCCCCCAGGAUCCUGAUUUCACUGAAUGAAUAGCAGCCGAUAUAAAAGAGAGCCAAUGUCCUUUCUGCUAAUUAGUCUGUGAUUAGACGCAGGGUCGAGAGUUUCCCUCUGGAGCUUAUCGUUUUAGGCUUAGAAACACUUCAUUAAUUCAUGCGUUAGCAGACAAGGGUUCUUGGUUCGUCCACAAUACCCCCAAGAUUUCCAGCAAGCCCAGAAACUGCCCUUACAGAGUGAUGUAAAGAUAUCACAGGAUCUCAUUGUCCUCUCAUAAGGGAGUUCCUGUAUGUUGAGCGCCUCUGGGUUAUUCACUUCUACUACCUCCUUAUGUGGUGUGUAUAUAAUCACCAUAUGUUUAUAACCCUAUCAUGUGACAGAGGGCUGUGGAGGGUGUUAUGAUGGACAGAGGGCUGUGUCACUGGUAGAGGAGGGAGUUAUGAUGGACAGAGGGCUGUGUCACUGGUAGAGGAGGGAGUUAUGAUGGGCAGAGGGCUGUGUCACUGGUAGAGGAGGGAGUUAUGAUGGACAGAGGGCUGUUUCACUGGUAGAGGAGGGAGUUAUGAUGGGCAGAGGGCUGUGUCACUGGUAGAGGAGGGAGUUAUGAUGGACAGAGGGCUGUGUCACUGGUAGAGGAGGGAGUUAUGAUGGACAGAGGGCUGUGUCACUGGUAGAGGAGGGUGCUAUGAUGGGGCUAGGACUACGUCAUUGGUAGAGGAGGGGGCAUCAUGUGGUGCAUUAGGGGUGUUUUAAUGAAGGCAGCGACCAGGAUGAACAGUAGCUCUGCAGCAAGGAGCAGUACCACAUUAUGUCUACAAGAUGCUGCUGAAACAGAGCACCAGCCGUCUAGGGGUAAACAUGGUGUAUCUUCUGUAGCAUAACCGAAGAGGGGAGUUGAUCAAAGAAUAGCAACUAAUAUUCGAAUGUGUUGUGCGGUUGGUUGGCGUCCAGGGACAGAACAUUAUUGGCAAAGCAUAUCGAAUAAUAACACAAUGUUAGCAUAGCAUUAGCAUAGCAACAUGGUAUAACAUAGCAAAGUAAGGACCCAGCCUCACAGGCAGCCCCAAACAACAGCAAACGCAGCGUAGCUUAGCACAAACACACGUUAGCUAGAGGAGAACACGGAAGAUGAGGAAAUCAAUCAAUCUUCACGCUCGGUUGUUUCGCAAUUUUUCUGCCUCCCACCUCUCCUUCAGCGAGGGACAGGGUGGCCUCAAAGCGGUCUCAGGACCUCCAGUCAUUACUCAUGUGCACCCAGGGAGCUCCUUCGCCUGAAGGGGCCGGCGGCCGCUCGCUGCAGCUGCCUGCGUUUGUUAUCUGGGCUGAGGACCGUGUGUGCACUGUUCACGCUGCGCUGCACGAUGCGCUAGGUGACAUGCACACACACACACACACAGACACACCUGUACGACGACAGACACACACAUACACACAAUGGUAAAUCUACAGACGCACACACACUGGUACAUCGAAAGACACACAGACAAACACACACACACACACCGGUACAUUUACAGACACACACACACAUACACACACAAAUACACAAAACCACAGGCCACACAUAUACGUCCCCAACACACACACACACACACACACACACACACACACACACACACACACACACACACACACACACACACACACACACACUGGUACAGAGGCAUACACACAUACACACACACAGACACACACUGGUACAUUUACAGACACAAACACAUACCCACACAAACUCCAACCAAUACACAAAACCACAGGCCACGGCACCCACGCACGCACGCACACGCACACGCACACACACACCUAGGGAAGCUAAGCAGUGUGUGUGUGUGUGUGUGUUUGUCUCCAG